RNAcentral lists this ribosomal RNA (227 nucleotides) under Bacillaceae bacterium HSR45. Its description in RNAcentral is "partial 23S ribosomal RNA". It matches the Rfam family "Bacterial large subunit ribosomal RNA", at positions 2700 to 2925 of the family's 2925-position model. The record is from RNAcentral. Lineage: Bacteria; Bacillati; Bacillota; Bacilli; Caryophanales; Bacillaceae.
GACGCACCGCUGGUGUACCAGUUGUUCUGCCAAGGGCAUCGCUGGGUAGCUAUGUGCGGACGGGAUAAGUGCUGAAAGCAUCUAAGCAUGAAACCCCCCUCAAGAUGAGAUUUCCCAUUCCUAUAAGGAAGUAAGAUCCCUGAAAGAUGAUCAGGUUGAUAGGUCUGAGGUGGAAGUGUGGCGACACAUGGAGCUGACAGAUACUAAUCGAUCGAGGACUUAACCUA